RNAcentral lists this ribosomal RNA (441 nucleotides) under Massilia sp. R-45804. RNAcentral describes it as "bacterial SSU rRNA". It matches the Rfam family "Bacterial small subunit ribosomal RNA", at positions 24 to 467 of the family's 1533-position model. The record is from RNAcentral. Lineage: Bacteria; Pseudomonadati; Pseudomonadota; Betaproteobacteria; Burkholderiales; Oxalobacteraceae.
UCAGAUUGAACGCUGGCGGCAUGCUUUACACAUGCAAGUCGAACGGCAGCGCGGACUUCGGUCUGGCGGCGAGUGGCGAACGGGUGAGUAAUAUAUCGGAACGUGCCCAAGAGUGGGGGAUAACGUAGCGAAAGUUACGCUAAUACCGCAUACGAUCUAAGGAUGAAAGUGGGGGAUCGCAAGACCUCAUGCUCCUGGAGCGGCCGAUAUCUGAUUAGCUAGUUGGUGAGGUAAAGGCUCACCAAGGCGACGAUCAGUAGCUGGUCUGAGAGGACGACCAGCCACACUGGAACUGAGACACGGUCCAGACUCCUACGGGAGGCAGCAGUGGGGAAUUUUGGACAAUGGGGGCAACCCUGAUCCAGCAAUGCCGCGUGAGUGAAGAAGGCCUUCGGGUUGUAAAGCUCUUUUGUCAGGGAAGAAAAGGGUACGGCUAAUAUC